This 304-nucleotide non-coding RNA is filed under the name Nicotiana sylvestris (wood tobacco). RNAcentral's name for it is "Bacterial large subunit ribosomal RNA". It matches the Rfam family "Bacterial large subunit ribosomal RNA", at positions 915 to 1230 of the family's 2925-position model. Lineage: Eukaryota; Viridiplantae; Streptophyta; Magnoliopsida; Solanales; Solanaceae. The record is from Rfam by way of RNAcentral.
UAUACAUAUAUUUAUCAUUUUACUGUAAAUAUGACCUCAAAAUAACAGAGGUCAAGGUCGAAUAGUGAGACGAUGGGGAAAAGCUUCAUCGUCUAAAGGGAAACAACCCAAAUCACCAGCUAAGACCCCUAAAUGAUCGUUCUAUGAUAAAGGAGGUAUGGAUGCAGAGACAGUCAGAAAGUUUGCCUAGAAGCCACCACCUUUGAAAGAGUGUGUGAUAGCUCACUGAUCGAACGCUAUUGUAUCGAAGAUGAAUGGGACUAAGCGAGCCGCCCAAGCUGUGAGAUGUAAAAAUACAUCGGUA